This is an RNA transcript of Cucumis sativus (cucumber), 1581 nucleotides long. It is a transcript of the gene named nuclear transcription factor Y subunit B-1, with no coding region annotated. Lineage: Eukaryota; Viridiplantae; Streptophyta; Magnoliopsida; Cucurbitales; Cucurbitaceae. The transcript has 7 exons. The record is from RefSeq and is marked provisional.
AUAAUAAUAAAGGGAAAAGAAAAAUAAAAAGCGCUUUGGUUUUGCCCUUUUCCUCUCCUGAAUUUGCCCUGAAAAAGGGAAAAACAAAAAACGAACGGUGCUGAUAAACUUGAUUCUCUCAUCUCAGUCGUCUCCUUUCUCCUAUCUUCACCAUCGUCCGAUUCCAUUCCACCACUCCAUUUCCACCCGAUCUAAAUCCUUCUCUCUCGCGCCCAAAUUACAAAUCUUCCGUUUUCUCCCACCAGGGUUUUCGUGAAGAUGGCUGAUGCUCCGGCGAGUCCCGGCGGAGGAAGCCAUGAGAGCGGUGAGCAGAGUCCGAGGUCUAAUGUUCGCGAACAGGAUAGGUUUCUUCCUAUUGCGAAUAUUAGUAGGAUCAUGAAGAAGGCUCUUCCUGCUAAUGGGAAGAUUGCUAAGGAUGCUAAAGAAACCGUACAAGAAUGUGUAUCGGAGUUUAUCAGUUUUAUUACUAGCGAGGCAAGUGAUAAAUGUCAAAGAGAGAAACGGAAGACGAUUAAUGGUGAUGAUUUACUUUGGGCCAUGGCCACUCUUGGAUUUGAGGAUUAUAUUGAUCCACUUAAAACCUACUUGACGAAAUACAGAGAGGGGGCGGCCUUGCAUCUAGUCUUGUUAACUUUUUUUGGGACUCUUUGAUAACGUUUUGGUUUCUGGUUUCUGGUGUCGGGUUUUUGAAAUUUAUGCUUGUUUUCUCAUUAUUUCUUUAUGAAAGGCGAAAAAUGUUUGAAUUCUUAUUCAAAAUCCAAAAUCGGAAGCAAGUUUUAGGAAACUAAAAAAAAAUUCUUAUUUUUAAGAUUUAGCUAAGAAUUCAAACUUUUCCGAAACUAAAAUGAAAAUCAUAGUAAAGAUAGAAUGGAAAAACAAGCACACUUUUUAAGAACCAUAAACCAUAAACUAAAUGGUUAUCAAUGGAGGUUUAUUUGUUUCUUUUUGGUGGUUAAUUUUACUGCUUUUCGUUGUGUUCUUCAACUGAUGGGCGGAUGCUAUGGUUUUGCAUUUUUUUGCCUGCUGGUUGGAACUUGGGACGUUUUAGACGGAGGGUGACACUAAGGGGUCUGCUAAAGGUGGUGAUGGGUCAGCUAAGAAAGAAGCUCAUCCAACCCCUAUUCCUCAGAUGGCUCAUCAAGGGUCGUUUUCCCAAGGAGUUAAUUAUGCAAGUUCUCAAUCACAAGCCCAGCAUCUGAUGGUCCCUAUGCAAGGUACUGACUGAAAUUGCCUCAAAUCGACCAUGUAAACUGUUGAAUUUGGAGAUCUUUGUUCAGCAUAACAGCAAAAUUUGAGUCUAUUUAUUUAAAGUUUGGGUGGUUUUGAUACUUUUCAUUGUAGAAACAGUUGAAACUUUGUAUAUUAUUAUGGCUGUCUAUUGGAUUGGAAGUUAGGACACAGUAUUUAAUAGAGGUUUCAAGUCCUGGGGAUCCCAUUUAUUCAUGCUUGUAAACCUUACAACCUUGGCAAGGUCUUGUAGAUCUUGAAAAAGACUUGGUAGCAGUAGCACCCUUUGGAUUUUUUUUUAGAAUAAUUUUCCUAAUCAAAAUAAUAAAUUGUGCCAGGAAUGAUUUGCUUCUA